CGAGCGGCAGAGCGGGUAGCCUGGCUUCAGGGCCGGCGGUGCCUUGCACGGCUGAUGUGUAGUUGCACGCUGUCGCUGCAGGGCGAGAUGCUGUAACCCCGGGAGAGCCCGUCGCGGGAGCGCAAGGAGUUGGACGGACUCUGGAGCUUCCGCGCCGACUUCUCCGACGACCGGCGCGGGUGCUUCCAGGAGCAGUGGUAGCGGCUGCUGCUGCGGCCGGAGCGCAGUGGCGCAAUACUAACUUGGCCCUCGAGAAGGCGGCGGCGUCGGUGGCGGCGGCCCGGGUCAGCCCAGCCCGGCCACAGGGAAGUCAGCGGCGGCGACGGCGGCCCCAGCCCGGCCGGAGGGAAGUCGGCUUAAGCGGCGGCGGCGGCGCGAUCAGAGCGAGUUUCUUUGGAGAAGCCGUGGUGGCUUCAAUGUGAUGGUGGAGGACGAGACAGGUCUCUGCGGCUUUUCUGGCUUUGCCUGCUCAGCUGCUCCAUGCUACGAGAAGGAAGAGCUAUCUGCUGCAUGCUGGAGGCUGGAGCCUGUGGCACCAUGGCUCGCCUCGCUGCAGUUGGUGGCAGCGAUGGAGACUGCAGAACGCCAGAGAGGAUGCGGCCCCGGGAUGCUGCAGGAGACAGGAGGCACAAGCUGCAGCCAGGAGCAGAUCUCUGCCCCUUUGUCCGAAGAGCCAAAAAUGACCAAGACCUUGAGGCUGAACUUUGCUGACAAACUAGCAUCAGCCCAGAACAUUACAAUAAAGAUCCAGUUUAUGUGUGGAGAAGAUGCUGUCAACGCGAUGCCGGUCAUCUUUGGAAAGUCCAGUGGGCCUGAAUUUCUGCAGGAAGUAUACGCAGCCAUUACAUACCAUAAUAAGUCUCCUGACUUUUAUGAAGAAGUGAAAAUUAAGCUCCCUGCUCAGCUCACAGUAAAUCACUACCUCCUGUUCACCUUCUACCAUAUCAGCUGUCAGCAGAAGCAAGGAGGCUCCGUGGAAACUCUCCUGGGAUAUUCGUGGCUGCCAAUUCUUUUAAAUGAACGUCUUCAAACUGGAUCGUACUGUCUCCCAGUUGCCUUGGAAAAAUUGCCACCCAACUACAUGCGUUCUGCUGAGGACAACCACCUGGAGAAAUUCUUCACCCUCUGCCACUCCCUGGAGAGCCAGGUGACCUUCCCCAUCCGCGUGCUUGAUCAGAAGAUCAGUGAGACGGCACUGGAGCACGAGCUGAAGCUCAGCAUCAUCUGCCUGAACUCCUCCCGCCUGGAGCCGCUCGUGCUCUUCCUGCACCUGGUGCUGGACAAGCUCUUCCAGCUGUCUGUGCAGCCCAUGGUCAUUGCUGGCCAGACAGCCAACUUCUCCCAGUUUGCCUUCGAGUCCGUGGUGGCCGUCGCCAACAGUCUGCACAACAGCAAGGACCUGAGCAAGAACCAGCACGGGAGGAACUGCCUGCUGGCUUCCUACGUGCACUACAUCUUCCGCCUGCCGGAGCCACAAAGGGACAUGCCCAAGUCAGGUAGAGAUGCCCUGAGUGUGGGACUCUGGCGGGCAGGGCGUCGCCACCUCCACUCCACUGCAGUGGAAUCCAAAAUAAAACAUGCUAUGCUGGGUGCAGUGGCUCACAUCUGCAAUCCCAGCACUUGAGGAGGCUGAGAGAGGAGGAUCACUUGGAGCCAGAAGUUGGAGACCAGCCCAGGGAACAUAAAGAGACCCUGUCUCUACAAAAAUAAAAAUCAAAAUUAGCAGAGUAUAGUGGCACAUACCUGUAGUCACAGCUACUUGGGAGGUAAGAUAACUUAAGAUCAGGCAUUCGAAACCAGCAUGCUGAAACCUCGUCUCUACUAAACAUACAAAAAAAAAAAUUAGCCGGGUGUGGUGGCUCAUGCCUGUAAUCCCAGCUACUCAGGAGGCUGAGGCAGGAGAAUCACUUGAACCCAGGAGGCAGAGGUUGCAGUGAACUGAGAUGGUGCCACAGCACUCCAGCCUGGGUGACAGUGAGAGUCCGUCUAAAAAUUAAUAUAGAUAUGAAAGAUAAUAUUUUUGCUCUUAGGACAUACACCUUGUAGUAUUAUGAGGUAAACGGGUAUGAUAUUAGCAACCCAUUCUCAAUGGUUCAGGAAAAAAAAUGUUUUUAUAUUUAUAGACUGAUAGAAAAAAUAUAGUGAAAUGUCAAGUAUUGAUAAGCCUGGUUAAAGGGUAUAUGAUAGUUCUUUGUACUAUUCUUGCACCAAGUUUGAAAUUGUUUCAAAAUAAAAGCUAAAAUAAUAUAUUAAAUGAAAUAAAUCAAAUUUUUAAAAAGUAUCUACAAAAUCUUAGGAAGCAAUGUUUAUUAUUAAUAGCUUUGUCAUUACUGAGAAAAUUUGCAUAGUACCGAGUGCUCCGGAGGUUUUCAUUUGGUUAUUCCUCAGGGCAAACUGUUGGAACAGCAAUGGUAGGUGUGAGAAUAUUGGCAGAUGUGAGAAUAAGGCUCAGUGAUGUUGACACAUUUUCUGAAAGUCAAACAGCCAGUAGUAAAGCCAAGGCUGGAGAUUUUAAACCUGGAUAUUGAGUCAUGUCAGCUACCCAGGAGGAGUGGCCACAUGGAGGAUGCAGAGAGAGUUUGAGGGUGUCUCAGCAGCACUGUGACAACCUCUUUAUCAGAUCCCCAUCCAUCCCAGUGACUUGACCGGUCAGCAUGGCCUAAAUUUGCAAAUCGCAUUAUAACAAAGAGCAAAGUAGUUUCAUACCAUAUUUUUUAUGGUGUCAGAGGAAAUUAGUUCAUCAUUCUGAGAAUAAAGGACAUAAAUAUGAAAAACUGAAUCCCAGGUUGCUCUGCAGCACUGUAAAAUCCCCAUAAAUAUGAGCACUGAGAAAUAAUACAAAUUAAAAAUUUGUUUAGAUAGACCUAGCUUAUUAAUUGGGGUUCAUGGAGUAAUUCACCCUGUGAAAUAUGACUCUGACCUCUCUUAGGCUGGAAAUGCUGCCUAACUGGGGAAAAAAUUCUUAGGUUAAAAACUAUUUUAUCCUGAUUGGAUUUUCUGUAAUAAUUCUUAAAAAUUAAGAAACUAAAAAAAAAAAAAAGAAAGAAACUGUCUCAUUGAAGAGAAUAAAUAUUUUUCCAGUCAGUUUGCAAAAGAAAAAAAGCUAAUAGUUACCUAAAAAAUAGUUACCAGGAUAUCAAAAAUUUAGGAUGCAAUGUAGUAUAUAGAGAAUCAGCUUAAUUAUACAUACAUAAAUAUGCUUAUAGAAAAAGUGACUGGAAGGAAAUGCACCUAAAUAUUAACAAUACAUGAAUAAUUACUUGAUUCAACCUCACAGUCAUGGCUUUAGUUAAAAAAGACUUAAAUACUUUGCCCAGUGUUACCCAGAGGGACAGUGGCUGAAAUAGUAGGACCUGUGUCUCCCAACUUUCCCACCAGUGACCUGGGAGUUCAAAUCCAGAGUGUACCACAAAAUGAUUUGGGCAUUUGUUUAUUUUUGAGGAAAAUGAACAGGCAGAAAAGAUGAACAUCAGCCUGGCUUUCUUCUUGUAUGACCUUCUCUCCCUCAUGGAUCAGGGCUUUGUGUUUACCCUCAUCAGGCAUUAUUGCAACCAGCACAAUGCUGGAAGGGCAAGGGUCUUACAACAUACAAAGAGAAAGCAGAAGACAAAUCAACUGGUGUCUUUGACCGAGUAAUUAUGCAUGAAGAAGGUUGACCUAAGGAAACAAUCAUACAUGUGUUCAAAUAUACACAUAGAACAGUUUUUCCAUUUUUAUAUCCAUGGUUAAAUGAAACAACUGUACAUCCAAAAAAUUGGACAAUUAUUUAAUAAAAUCUUUCUUCUUAAUUUUAACUCUGUCUUUAAGAAUCUCAUCUAGCUCCAUACCUCUUAAGCUUAUUUAAAUGUUUGUAACUCCUAAACUUAUACUUGUAGCUCAGACCUUUCCCUCAGUCCAACUGCUAAUUUGACAUCCCCACAUGAAUGUACCACAGAUAUCUGAAACUUAAUACUGUCAUAUGCGAACUACUUAUAUUCUCUCCCAAGCCAGUCCCUCUAGCAUACUUCUCCAUCUCAGCUAACAGCAACUUUGUUCUUUCAAAGGCUCAGGCCAAAUAUCUUGAGUGCUUGGCAUCUCUCUUCUUCUUGCACACCCUAUCCAUUCCUUAACAAUCCUGUUAUUGAGACCUUCAACAUGUGUACGUAACAUGACCCCUUCUCACUUCCACUGCUAUCACUCAUCCAAGACAUUUCUCAGCUGAAUGAUUGCAAUCACCUCCGAAAAUGGUUUUCCAAAUUCUGCUAUGGCACUCGUCUGUAUUCUCAGUGCAUUAAAUGUUGAGUGGCCUUUUAAAGUUCAGAUUCGUCAUUUAUCUUCUCCAAAUCCUCCAAAAAGUUAUCAUCUUGUUUACAGUAAAAUUCAAAUGCUUUCUGAUGGUCUUUAAGGCCCAGUAUAAUCUGGUUAUUCAUUCCAUCUCUGACAUAUCUUGCUCUUCUCCUGCUCUGUUUAGUUGACUCCGGUCAUGCUGGUUUCCUUUUUGUUACCACAGUACUCCAGGCCUGUUCUUGCAUCAAAAUAUUUGCACUUGAUAUUUCCCUUGACUGGAGUCUGUUCUUCCCCCAGAUACCUGCUUAACUCACACCCUCACUUAUCCUCUAUUUCAAGACUUCACUCAAAUUCACCUUGUAAGGGCAGCCAUUCUGCGUCCCUGAAUAUCCUGUCUAAAUUUUGUAGCCCAGGUUGCUAUUUCCUAUACUCUGAAUGAUUCAGUUUCUCUCUUAUUGUUUAGCAUACCUAUAUACUGUGUUUUUGUGUCUUGUUCAUUGUCUUUCUCCUUCAUAACCUGUGUAUGCUAAAUUCAGGAAUGGUCAGAUUUAUUCUCUCCAUAUUCCUAGCAGUUAAAACAGUGUUAAAACAAUAAAUAAUUGUCAACAGAAGAAUGGAAUGAAAAGAGGAGGGAGAAAAAUCUACCCAUUAAAUUUACUAUUAUGAAGUCAUUCAUAAGAAUGAAGAUCUUUAUUAAUAACAUGAAAGUAUUUUUAAAAUAUAUGAUCAGGAGAAACCAGAGUUCAGAAUGGUGUGUAUAUUAUUAUUCUAAUUUUUUAAAUAAAUAAUUUUGUAUAACAUUGUGUAGAAAUAAAAUGGGGGCUAAGAAGGGCAUAUACUGGCUAAUAGUGAUUAUCUCUGGAGGUGGUAUGAAAUGGUACUUAGCAUCUUUGUUUCUUUGUUUUGCAUUUCUGUAUAAUUUGCAUUUUAAAAUAUGUAUUAAAAUUUUAACAGUGAAAGUGUAAUAUUUAGUGAUGGAGAUGUAUAUUUCUUUCACAUUAAAAGCUGUUCAUAAUAUACUUAUGCAGAAAAGAAGUUUAGAGAGUAGGAAUAAUGUGAGCAUCAAUUGUUCAAUUUGGAAAUUCAAAACAGUCAUAAAAUUAAAUGUACUUUUUAUAUUUGUUGCCAAACACAUUUGACCACAAAACCUAAGCUGAACUGACAUGAAUUUAUUUCUAAACCUUGGUUCCACAUAAUGUGAAUAUUCAUAGUUUUCAUAAAUUCUUCCCCAGAAUCUGCUGCUGGUGAUGUGCCAUAUAAUGAAUACAGUCAAAAUUAACUUUCUAAAAUGUAAACAAAUUCUGGAACAUAUCCAACCAUAGGGUGUUUUACACAAGGCAUUGUAAAUAUGGCUGUCUCCACACCAAAACUGUGAUCUUUGGUUUAUGUGAUUUUGACUACUUAUUUUUCUUUUUGCUAAGAUAUAUCUUGUAUUUUGCUUUCUGCAACCAAUGUCCUAUAUAUUAAAUAAAAUAGCAUAUAAAUUAAAUUAAAACUUUAUGUAAGAUCUCUAGGCAUGGCGGGUGGCGGGGGGGAGUUUUAAAACUGAGACAAGCCUUAACCAAGUGUGGCCUUGUAUAUUCCCACCUGAAAAAUAAACCAAGCCUCAGAUUUUGUCAACUCAGAGUCUCCAGGUGAGAGAAAGGAAACCUAUUAGACUGAAAUACAAAAUGCAUAAAUUUGGUGAAAUAGGAAUAUAGGGGAGACAAAUUCCAAGAAUACUCUAGGAAAGUUCUGCCCCGGAGACAAUUUCAAUACUGCAACAUUGGCAGAUGCACAAUCAUGGCUGGAUGGACAGCAUCUGGGCACGAGAUAAUGGCAUUUCCCCCACCCAGCAUCUCAGACUGUUUUCCACUAAAGACAGGAGGGAAUGAUGGUGAUAUUAAUAGAACAAGCAUGUUCUUUUCCUGUUCAGCUAUUUAAAGAAAUGUUCAGCUGCAAGGUGUGCUGAUUUAUACAACUUACCUUCUUCAACCCAGAUAGAGCUCUCUGCUUCUUUCUCCCAUUACAACCCCCACUUAAUGGAUCUGUAACUGACUUUCACUUUGUGAUAUAAAAUUUACAAGAAACAGGGUGUGUGUGUGGGGGGGGAGGCACGGUUAUUGUUUCCAGGUGCUGCUGAUCACACUUCUGUGGGGUAUGAACACUCUUAAUUGAGUUCUUAGCUUUAAAUGCAUCAUAAACAAAUUUAGAAGACAAUCAGGCAAUAUUAAAGGAGAGGUGGAAAAUUAUUGUCAUCAACUCUGUGACCUUAAACUGCAACACAAAUAAUUCUUCAUGGGGAUUAGAAAUGUACCCAGCUCUUCCUGAAUGGCUUAGAGAUGUGGCCCACUGAGCGAAACAGAAUCAGAUCACAGAAUAAAAUGCAGCUUGCGGUUUGAACUUCACAUUUUUGGGCAAUGGACUCAAAUUUGUUUCUUGACAUUCUUUUCAACCUUCAAUGACUAGUUUAGUAAUCGUUUCCUCCUUACAGUUUCCCAAAUCCCCACCUGUUAGAAUUAAUUUCCCCUUUUUCUCAAUUAUUGCUGCUCAGGGUUUCUACAUCUAGUAGAGUGUUUAUGAUAUUUUUUUCAGUUUUACCUUAUAGUGUUUGUGUUUAUUGUGAAGAUUCCCAAGUUUCAGUUAUCUGUGCACUUGUUUUAGAUAUCUUGCCCAAUCUGUGUGCUGUCCAUAGGUUAUUGACCUGAUAGUCUCUUUACACUUACUAAUUUUUAAAAACAUUUUUUCUUUAAGCCUCAUUCUUAGUCUCAUCUGUUAAAUUUAAAAUUGGAUGUAAUCAUCUAUAGGCAUAUAUUUGCAUCAUAAGUAUAUAUAUGUAUAUAUGAAUGUUUAUCACAAGUAUAUCACUCAAAAUUUUGAAAUAUUAUUUACAUUUAUAUUUAAAAUACAUCAACUCCAAUCACUUGGAAUACUGCCAGUAGUUAAUUUGCUACACAUUAAAUUCAUACUAUUCUUUGCAAAACACUGUCUCAUUUUAUAUUGAUAGAUCCUUGUGUAUAGGAAUCAUUUUUAUUACAAAAUUCAAUUUGCUCAAGAACAUUUGCUGAACAAUUUGUAGUGCAGAUAGUAUGCUAGUGCAACAAAAAGUAAUCAGGAUAAAUUAUAUAUAUAUACACAUAUGUGUGUGUGUGUGUGUAUAUAUAUAUAUGUAUGUUUUUUCUUUUUUUGAGACGGGGUCGCUCUAUCUCCCAGGCUGUAAUGCAGUAACAUGAUCUCGGCUUACUGUAACCUCUGCCUCCCAAGUUCAAGCGAUUCUCCUGCCUCAGCCUCCCAAGUAGCUGGGACUACAGGUGCCUAUUGCCAGGCCCGGCUAAGUUUUUGUAUUUUUAGUAGAAACAGCGUUUCACAGUGUUAGCUAGGAUGGUCUUAAUCUCCUGACCUCGUGAUCCACCUGCCUCAGGCUCCCAAAGUGCUGGGAUUACAGAUGUGAGCCACCACACCCAGCCAGUUAUAUUUUUUAAUAUAACAAUAUGUUGAUAUAGUUUCAAAAUACGAAAAGAUUAAAACUUUAAUACACAUCUUACAUGAUGUACAAAACAUCAAAAUUUUCAGUGAAGAUAGUUUUAUUUAUUUAUAAACAGAAAUGAAGACUACAGAUUUGGUUAGGAAAUGUAGGAAGCAACCUACUAAGUGCCUUGUCUGUUUUUCUCUAAAGUCUGUGCUUCUUGAACUUUACAGUGUGAUCACAAGAACCUUAUUCUCAUGUCUUGACAUUUUCCUGAAGGAACUUUUGUUUUCUGAAGAACUUCAGGUUCCUUCUCCCAACUGGCUUCUCUGCACAGGAGGGGUCACAGUGGAGUAAUGGGUUGGAGAAAGGGUCUCCAGAAAGGAAGAGCUCCUUGGAAGAUCAUGCCUGCAGGUCACCUGUGAGUUAACUACCAUGUCUCCAGCUCCUCUACUUAUACCUGGGUGGUUGAUGGUGGAGUGUGGGAAUAUAUGCUUUAGUAGGAAGCCUGCUAAUAGCCCCAGACCCAAAACACAUUCUCCAAUACUGCUUUAACAAGGAACUUCUAUUUUGUGUCCUAUCUGGCUUCUGGGACCAUUUCUCUGUUAUUUCUGAACCUAUGGGAAAGAAAGAUGUGUGCUUUACUAACCUCCUUAAUCAACAACACAAUAGUGCCUUCCUGUGUCAAAGGGCUUUGAAAACUCCAAAGAAUUAGGAUACACAUAUUUAUUCUUGUGUUUUAUUAGGUAUUUGUAAUACAAAUUCACCAGUAUCAUUGCUAAUUAUUUUGGAUAAAAUAUAUACAUUUAUGUAAAUCAGUUCCUUAGUUCCUGGAAACAAAAUACACUCAAGAUAUAUUAUUUGUUUUCCUUUUCCAUGCCUCCCUCCCCUCUCCACCCACCCAGCCACCUCUCUCUUAAUUAUCUGCCAUAAAAUACCUUGGUAUUUUCCAUCCUUGGCCCAAAGAUGCUGAGUCCAUUUCUCUCCAUUUUUCCCCUGGCCCUCAAGGAAAGCGUUAUGUUUAGCAUCAUAAUGUAAUUAAGGUCAUUCUGCCUUCAGUCAUCAAUGUGCAAAUCCUGUAUGACUAAUGAGACAGUCUCAACAGAGGCUCCUAAACUGUAUCCUCUCACUUGGCUACAUAGCCCUAGUUUCCUCAGUCCCUUUUUUGACAGGGGUGAAAAUGUCCUCCCCUUCAGGCUUCUGGAUGAAUCUCAAAAUAAAUGGAACCAGUGUUCCUGUCCUGGGGAUUUUCAGAAAAGGAGUUCUAAGAAAAAUUGACCCCAUCCCCACUAUCUGUUUCCUCACCCACAAUGUCUCCUUCUGGAAGCUGGACCAGAAUAUAAGGAUGGGGAUUCAGGUAGCUGAGCAGACACAGUGGCUCAGAGGAUAUGAGGAUGUACAGGCUUGAUAAAGAGCAGAGGUGUGAGCAGGGAGGAUCCACUCCAGAGUGACUGGGUGGAGAUGCAUCCUCCAGAAUCAGGAGACUAGAGCAGGGCUGCAGUUCAGCUGUUGUUUUGGUUUUAAUUCUCUCCAUCUCAAAGCAUAGGCCUGAUCUUCUUUUCUUUCCAUAGGGUAUUUUGAGCCUUUUCCCCACUUCUUAUAAACUGAAGAUUAUAAUAAUGACUAUUUGAUACAGCUUUUGUAAGAAUUAAGUAAGACCAGAUUUUGGAUGGUUUACAGCAUAGCAUAAUGUAACGUUCAGUGUAAAUAAAAUAAAUAUUAAUUCUUUUCAAUAUGUUAAAAUCAUAAACCUGGCCCUUUUGUGACUCACCUUGGGCAUCAAUUUUCAUACCAUUUCUUACCCUUAAGCCCAACUGUUGGUCUAAUCAUAAUGACAAUAUAAUCUUGUCAUUUUUCCCCAUACUACUAGAAAAAACAAACGUAAACAAAUGAACAAACAAACUUAAUACUGUCUUUGAUAUCUUUUUUAAUUGUACUUUAGGUUCUGGGGUACAUAUGCAGAUCAUACAGGAUUGUUGCAUGGCACUCUUUAUAAUCCCAUGACAGUGAUUUUUUCAACAUGCAUAUCUGACCAUAGCUCUCCCCUGCUUAUAAUCUUUGAUGCUUUUCAAUUGCUACUAGAAUAAAAAGCAAAAUCUUCAACAUGCCCUGGAAUGCCCUACAUGAUCCAGCGCCUCACCUCAUGCCACCUUUCUCUUCUCUAGCCUCUAGCUGUGCCAAUCUUUAUUUCUUAAAAAUGUCAUUCUCCUUCCUGCCUUUGGGCUUUUGCACAUGCUGUUCCUUCAGCUUCUUUGCCUAAUUAAUGUCUACCUCUCUUUCAAAUCUGUUUAAACAUUAUUUGCUCCAGGAAAACUUUUUCAAUGCCAUCCCUCUGCCCCAUCCCAGAUAAUAAUGAGUUUCUUUUUUAUAUGACUUUUUCAUUACAUGUUUUUCCUUUGCAGCACUUAGCUAGAAUUUAAUUAACUGAGAAUCUAAUUAGACAUUAUAUAUUGGUGUAAUUAUUUUGACUACUGUCAGUCCCUCUCCAUGAGGUUGUGGACUUUGUCUAUGGAACAUGCUCUUAUUUCCAGAGGACCUGCGAGUGCCUGGAAGGUAUUGAAUAAAUAUAUUUUUGAAAAAGGCAUUGUGCUACAGCUCUAUAUUCUGAAAAGUGAGACAAAAAUUGGUUAAAUCAUAUGCUCAAGGUUAUCCAGCCAUCAAAUGAUGGGAUAUAAAAUUGGUAGUGGUUUCUAAAAAUGUUUAAAAGGAAGGGAACUGAAAAUGGAAAUCUAAUUAGGUAAGAUAUGGCAAAGAGUCAGCAGGAGUAUUCCGUGCCUUUCGUUCUUCCCUCUGAAGAUAUUGGAGUCACUUCCAACUCCUCUCCCAAUAAGAACAGAUUGGGCCUCAGUGUCCUUGUCAAUACAACCUUUCAGCUGACUACUUGAAACAUACUUGCCAAACCUGAACUAGAAGAUUUUGUAAUGGUGAAAUACAAUGAACAUUAUUCUAUCUCUGUGGUGGUGAGACAGACGAGUAAUUUGGUUUUGUUCAGGUGUGUUUUAUAUUCCUUUGGUUUUCAUCAAAGCCUCUUUAAAUUCCUUCCAUAUUAUCCAGUGAAUUCACAGAUAUAGAACCAAAGUUGUAUACAUAAUUGUAUAAAUGAUUUUCAACAAUGAAUGAAUGAUGGAAUGAAUGUGGUUGAGUCAUGAGGAAAUAACAGCAGGAUGACUUAAUUUUGGAUGCAGUCCAAAUGUAGGGUAAUAUAAGAUCUCUGACUCCUGCCUGAUUCCAAAGUCAAUGAAAGUUUCUGACCUACUGACAGUCUGACCAUACUUGGAAGGCCCUAUGAAAUUGAAUAGGGAAGAGAACAUCUCAGCUUCCCCCUGCUUGUCUGGAUCUCUCUUCCAAGAUUCUGCUCCAGGUCAGAUUCUCUUGAGUGUUUUCAAUGUCCUGGUGUAACACUGAACAUGAGAGCAAUUAAGUGUGAUCUAUGUUACCCGGCCUUCCUGGACUGCCCAGGCCACUCUGGGAUCUCCCUUUUGUUGGAUUUUAUUUCUAUUUUAUUAGAAUUUUCCUCCUCCCAUCAAACAGAAACACUUCUGAUCCACGACUGAGCUCCCACAAUCUUUUUGACAACCUUAUCCACUACUCAGGUUUAAUCUGCCUCAGGUAGAUCAAAAAGAAUUGAUAUGAAUUUUUUGAUUGGGUGCAUCUUUUUUCUCUCCAUCUCUUUACCUUUCAGCAGCUGAAGGGGAUCCAUCAUGAUAAUUUCCCGUUAUUAAGUUUGAAGUGUUUUGAAUGUGAAAUGCCUUUUCACUUAGAAAGAAUUGAUGCCUAUAACUAGUAAUGUGUUAGCAGUUUGGUAGAGUGCUUGACAGCCCAAACUGCAUUACAGGUAGCUAAUCCCCAUGGCUGAGCUCCAUUAAAGAAUAGAUCGUAUCUGUUAAUACAGCCAUAGAGUGUGGGUCAUUGUGCUGAAAGGCAGUGUAGCUGCUGGGAGAAAGAUUAUAAUGUGACUUUAUUCUAUUUUAAACUUGCAGAAUGUAUGGUAGAUAUACUAGUCAUGAUUGAUUAAAGAUAUGAGAGAGGAUUUUAUGACUCUCCUGGUAUUUGCCAGGUUUAUAAUUCCCACCGGGAAGAAAAAUGUCCCCAGUGGCUUAAACAAGACCAAUAGCAAAUUUCAAGCUGUGGACAGCUACCUAGCUCCUGUACAUUCUUCACAGUAACUCCCAGGUAUUUCAUAGAGUUCUUUGGAAGAGAUGAGAGUCUGGUGCCCUGAUUCUUAAUGCUUAUUAAAGGUGACCCCUUAAGAAGAAAGAACUGGUUCAAUACUGUGUCCCCAGUCAAAUGUGGUUUUUUUCUUUCAUUUUUUUUAGACUAGUAAAGGCAAGUACACAGCAAUUUAUGUGCAAUUUCUAAACAAUUGGUAGCAAGACGCUUGAAGUUCUUUAUUGAGUACCAGGAACUGUAAUAAUGCAUAUGUGCCAUGACCCAUUAACAGUGCCCACUAUAGGCACAGGUGGGAAAGCAGAGACCAAUGUAUCACAUAUUUGUCAUAUCACAUAUUUGUCAUUCCAGGUAUAAACAAACUCAGGCAUAUUUUGGUAACUGCAGUCUUUGGAGUAAUUUAAACAUAGUUAAGCUUAUAACUCUUCAUAAUUCAUAUAAUCUAUAGCAAGUCAAAUUAGAAUAUCUGAAGCCUGGAUUAUGAAAUAGCAGCCAUUAUAUUAUAUUAAAUGUAGAUUUUUAGUACACAAGUGAUUAUUAAUGGAACUCCAUGAAAAUAGCACAUUUCACAGUCAAGACUUCAUUUAGCCGAAAUUUGUGUGUUAACUCUGAAAUUCCAUUAGAGAAAAAAAGUGCUGAUGAGAUUCCUACCCUUAAAUAAUAUUCACGUCAUGGUGGGACAUUAAGUGCUCACUUAUAGAAUAGUUGAAUAACCAAAGAGGGCUCUAGUACCAGCAUGUGAACAAUCCGUGGUUUCAUAAGUAAAACCCAAUGCCGACUCAGGGUUCUUCAGGUGGAAGGCAAGGCAAGCCUCUCAAGCUCUAUAAGGCACUUUUUGCCAACCACAUGUUGUGCCUUACAGUUUAUCUAGCGACCUUCUCAUUUAUAGGGAAACUGAGGUCAAUGGAGAUAGUUAUCAAAGGUGCUCAGUGUUGACAGCAGCUUAGAUUUCUUCAUUCCUAGUCUAGUGCUUGCAUUGGAAAACUCUGCCUAAUAUUUUUUAUUUAAUAGUUUUAUUAAACAAAAUGUUUCCAACUUUAGGCUGGUUGACUAAUAAUGGUUGUUCAUUUACUUAAUAAUAUCACUUACUCAGUAAGUUACUAUUUCAGAUAGCAUUGUAUAGUAGACAAGAGCUAAGGAUUGGGAUUAAUACAAAUUUGUUCUUCUAUUGAUUAGCCAAGUAACUUAGACUAAUUCUGUGUGCCUCUAUUAUCUCACCUGUAAAAGAGAAAAGCAUGCCUAAUAAAUAGUGAAGAUAAAAUGAGAUAAUGUAUAUGAGGCCAAUGUACUGGACAGAAACUAAAUGUCUUAGUAUCUCCUUGUCUCAACGUUGCAUCAAUCACAGAAGAUAUGUAAAAACCUCAUUGGUUCAUCUUUCCUCUCUUAAAUGGAGUUUAAACUGCUGAAAUUAUUGAAACAGCAAUUAAAAUAGAGGUUAGUAAGUGAUUUCAAUGUCUUUUUGGGACCAUUAAGUCUAAAAGGUAAGCUAAUACUAAAAGUCAUUUAUUUUCCAUUCAUUAUUAAUUAGCAACUAUGGAGUGAGUAGAUUUUAAAUAAAAUUAUGUUAGCUACAAGUUUUCUCAGAAAACCUUGCCUGUUAGCAGUAGCUCAUGAUAAUUGGGAUCUUGAUCUUAAACCCAAACAUGACCAGAAUACCUAUUUCUAAACACACUUUAAGCCUUACAGUGAUAACCAGCUUUUUAAAAUAUUUAUCCAUUACAUUCAGUUCUUUAAUGUGACAUAAAAACUCAAUGGCUUCUCAUCUUCUGGCUAAAAUCUUUCUAGUAGAAAUAUUUGACUGGGCACAUUGGCUCAUGCCUAUUAGGAUGCCAAGGAGGGGGGCUCACUUAAGCCCAGGAGUUUGAGACCAGCCUGGGUGACAUGGCCAAACAUUGUUUCUACAAAAAAAAAGUAAAAAAAUUAGCCAGGUUUGGUGGCACACAUCUGUAGUCACGGCUGCUUCAGGGACUGAGGUGGGAGAAUUGCUAGAGCCUGAGAAGGUUUGGGCUGCAGUGAGCUGUGAUUGCACCACUGCACUCCAGCCUGGGUGACAGAGUGAGACCCUGACUCAAGAAAAUUUUGAAAAAGAAAAAGGAAGAGAAGAG
Callithrix jacchus (white-tufted-ear marmoset) is the source of this 13983-nucleotide non-coding RNA. NCBI's taxonomy places the organism in Eukaryota, Metazoa, Chordata, Mammalia, Primates, Cebidae. The record is from RefSeq and is a predicted model, not a curated record.